GAGAGAGACCCUGGGUAGUAAGAACUGCUAAUUCUUUACAUCUAUGGUUAAAAUCCAUAGCUCACUCG
This 68-nucleotide transfer RNA is filed under the name Lebiasina multimaculata. RNAcentral describes it as "tRNA-Ser(AGY)". RNAcentral also lists the same sequence under 1 other name. The record is from RNAcentral. Lineage: Eukaryota; Metazoa; Chordata; Actinopteri; Characiformes; Lebiasinidae.